This 340-nucleotide ribosomal RNA is filed under the name Nematoda environmental sample. Its description in RNAcentral is "SSU rRNA". It matches the Rfam family "Eukaryotic small subunit ribosomal RNA", at positions 1300 to 1665 of the family's 1831-position model. The record is from RNAcentral. Lineage: Eukaryota; Metazoa; Nematoda.
CGUGGAGCGAUUUGUCUGGUUUAUUCCGAUAACGAGCGAGACUCUAGCCUACUAAAUAGUUUGUGCAUUGUCUCUGCGCAUAAAACUUCUUAGAGGGAUUCGCGAUGUUCAGUCGCAAGAAAUUGAGCAAUAACAGGUCUGUGAUGCCCUUAGAUGUCCGGGGCUGCACGCGCGCUACACUGGCGAACGCAACGUGCUUGUCCUUGGCCGAAAGGCCUUGGUAAACCAUUGAAAUUUUGCCGUGAUUGGGAUCGGAAAUUGCAAUUAUUUUCCGUGAACGAGGAAUUCCAAGUAAGUGCGAGUCAUCAACUCGCGUUGAAUACGUCCCUGCCCUUUGUAC